Trichonephila inaurata madagascariensis is the source of this 73-nucleotide non-coding RNA. NCBI's taxonomy places the organism in Eukaryota, Metazoa, Arthropoda, Arachnida, Araneae, Nephilidae. The record is from the annotation of a GenBank genome assembly.
GUACUUGAAGCGCAAUGGGUACCGUUUUGGACUUCUAAUCCAAAGAUCGUAGGCUCGAAUCCUACUUGGGAUG